CAUGGCUCAAGACGAACGCUGGCGGCGUGCUUAACACAUGCAAGUCGAACGAUGAAGCCUAGCUUGCUAGGUGGAUUAGUGGCGAACGGGUGAGUAAUACGUGAGUCGACCUACCUUUUGACUCUGGGAUAAGCCUGGGAAAACUGGGUCUAAUACCGGAUACGACCAAUCUCCGCAUGGGGUGUUUGGUGGAAAGCGUUAUGGAGUGGUUUUAGAUGGGCUCACGGCCUAUCAGCUUGUUGGUGAGGUAAUGGCUUACCAAGGCGACGACGGGUAGCCGGCCUGAGAGGGUGACCGGCCACACUGGGACUGAGACACGGCCCAGACUCCUACGGGAGGCAGCAGUGGGGAAUAUUGCACAAUGGGCGCAAGCCUGAUGCAGCGACGCCGCGUGAGGGAUGACGGCCUUCGGGUUGUAAACCUCUGUUAGCAUCGAAGAAGCGAAAGUGACGGUAGGUGCAGAGAAAGCGCCGGCUAACUACGUGCCAGCAGCCGCGGUAAUACGUAGGGCGCGAGCGUUGUCCGGAAUUAUUGGGCGUAAAGAGCUUGUAGGGCGGUUGGUCGCGUCUGCUGUGAAAGGCUGGGGCUUAACCCUGGUUUUGCAGUGGGUACGGGCUAACUAGAGUGCAGUAGGGGAGACUGGAAUUCCUGGUGUAGCGGUGGAAUGCGCAGAUAUCAGGAGGAACACCGAUGGCGAAGGCAGGUCUCUGGGCUGUAACUGACGCUGAGAAGCGAAAGCAUGGGGAGCGAACAGGAUUAGAUACCCUGGUAGUCCAUGCCGUAAACGUUGGGCACUAGGUGUGGGGGACAUCCCACGUUUUCCGCGCCGUAGCUAACGCAUUAAGUGCCCCGCCUGGGGAGUACGGCCGCAAGGCUAAAACUCAAAGAAAUUGACGGGGGCCCGCACAAGCGGCGGAGCAUGCGGAUUAAUUCGAUGCAACGCGAAGAACCUUACCAAGGCUUGACAUAUACUGGACUGCGUCAGAGAUGGCGUUUCCCUUCGGGGCUGGUAUACAGGUGGUGCAUGGUUGUCGUCAGCUCGUGUCGUGAGAUGUUGGGUUAAGUCCCGCAACGAGCGCAACCCUCGUUCUAUGUUGCCAGCACGUGAUGGUGGGGACUCAUAGGAGACUGCCGGGGUCAACUCGGAGGAAGGUGGGGAUGACGUCAAAUCAUCAUGCCCCUUAUGUCUUGGGCUUCACGCAUGCUACAAUGGCCGGUACAGAGGGUUGCGAUACUGUGAGGUGGAGCUAAUCCCUAAAAGCCGGUCUCAGUUCGGAUUGGGGUCUGCAACUCGACCCCAUGAAGUCGGAGUCGCUAGUAAUCGCAGAUCAGCAACGCUGCGGUGAAUACGUUCCCGGGCCUUGUACACACCGCCCGUC
This 1379-nucleotide ribosomal RNA is filed under the name uncultured bacterium. Its description in RNAcentral is "bacterial SSU rRNA". It matches the Rfam family "Bacterial small subunit ribosomal RNA". The record is from RNAcentral.